Nelumbo nucifera (sacred lotus) is the source of this 2048-nucleotide non-coding RNA. NCBI's taxonomy places the organism in Eukaryota, Viridiplantae, Streptophyta, Magnoliopsida, Proteales, Nelumbonaceae. The record is from RefSeq and is a predicted model, not a curated record.
UCUCUCUAAUUUAAUCAAGUUCAUUUCAGUUUUAGAGGACUGAUUCACUUCUCUAUGUGUCAUCACUAAUAACAUGCUCUUUUCCCUUUUCUUAAAUGCCUUUCGCUUUAGUUGGCAUGGGUAUGGGUACGUGGGUACAUGUAUGGGUAUGGGUGUGGGUACAUGGGUAUAUGGGUAUGGGUAUCAACAACAAUGGUUAUUGGCCUUUAGUUUGUGAUUAGAUGAACACUCAACCAGUUUGGAAAAGCCAGGCAGUUCAAAACAAGUUUGUUGGAAAUUAAUACCUCAGAAUUAGUUUCAGACUUUCAGGUUUUAUAUCAGGUUUAAGUUCAUUGCUUAUUGUCUUAGUAAGGGUUGGAACACAGAUUUUCAAAAUCGUAUCUGCACCAAGCUGGCGGUUUUUGGAUAGAAGCUUUUCGAUACCUACAGUAUAGGUGUCCCUAAGGUGGUAGUGUUGUCACAACCACCGGAAAAAGUUUUAAAUAAGAAAAGUAAAAAAAAAAAAUAGCAUGGUGGUCUUUUGGUCUAAUGCAGCAAUUUUCAGGGUUGAUCCAAUCUAACUGGGUUGAGUAGACCAUGCUGGUCUAGCAUGCUUGAGUUAAAAGCCCACUUUAAAGUUUAAACGUUUGUAAAACCCUUCUCCAUUUCACAGAAGAGAGGAGAGAUUUGCCACCGCUGCCACUGCUAGUCCAUCUUGCCAUUGUUGGAGUUGCAUCUGCCACUGCUUUGUUCCUAGAUAUUCUCUUUCUUGCUUGGUUUCCUGUACACUUUGUUGUAACUUGUAAGUUCUCGGCUUCAGCCAAUUGAUCCUUUACAAGUUUGUCUACAUUGCUCAUUUUUCUUGGAUGUAAAAGAGCCAAUACCCCCUGUUUCUUUGUUUAACAAUGCUUUCAUGUUUCUCUGAUUGGAUAUGAUCAAUUUUAGUUAAUUUCUUUUGUUCUUCGAUCUUUCAAACCUUGGAAUUUCCUGGCUUUCGCAAGAGGCAUUUGUUUAUAGAUCUUUCAACUAGAUCUGUAAAGCUUCAAGUGACUUCUCUUUUGUAGCAUUCUUUUAAAAGCAAUUUGGAAAUCCACAGUCUAAAUGAUACAUACCUCAGAGUCCAGGUUUACAAUCCCAACUGCACCAGCCAACACAAAGAUGUUAUCACUGCCUCACGUUGAUUGCAGCUUGAGAACCUUGGCUGGACAGGUGGAGGGUUUUAGCUGAUUUACCAUUGAUGGUCAUUACAGACCACUUUAUCACAUAACUACUUUAGCAGAAAAAUAUGCAAGGUUCUGUUUGUAGCUGUUCGGCGAUGUGAACGAAUCUCUUAUUGUUUAAAUCUGGCUUGCUCCAUCUUUCCCAAGUGGACAAUGAAGUAUGCGGAUCCUAGAAUCUCUUUUCUUUUUUCAAAAGGUAAGAAAGAUGCCAGUGAUUGAAGAAUAAAUAGAUGAAGAGGGGAUAGAUAGUAAAAGGCUGAAAGCUGCAGAACUGGCAAAACAAAGUCUGUGGCUCACAGCAGCAGAUCACAUGUGAAGGAACACUGCAACGUACAGGGUUGGUACUUGAAGGGGUAGCAAAUCUUUCUGGCACUACACCAACCUCUCAUAAAGGGACGGGUUGCUAAAUAAUGUUGCAGUAUUUCAUGGUAUAAUGACAUUGAGAAGGAAAUGGCAGCAGGCUUGCAGACAUGCCAUUGACGUCCUUUUCAGGAUGCAGAUUCUCCAUAUAACAAUAAUAGAAGUGUGUUUGGUCAUCAAAAUUUACAACCAACAAACUGGUUCUUGGCAGGACUAGAUCUUUUAGGCAAGUUGUCGAACUCAUGUUCUCUAGUGGUCCUAAUGGAACCCGGCCACUCAUGAAAAUCAAAUUGUUGGGUCCCUCUUAUAUUAUUGUAUGUCUUCUGGACCAAUUUUCAAAUGAUCCACCUCAGAAUGCACUUUGCUGAACUUGUUUUUUCUCAUCUUUUUUGGUGGGUAAGGUGGGAUUGAACCGUGACCUCACAACUGUAGUGUAAUGUCAAACGCCAAGUACAUAUUCUUUUAAGAAAGGUGAUCUUGACAACAUCA